UACGGAGGGUGCAAGCGUUGUUCGGAUUUACUGGGCGUAAAGCGCGCGCAGGUGGGUGUGCAAGUCGGAUGUGAAAGCCCUGGGCUCAACCCAGGAAGUGCAUUCGAGACUGCAGAGCUGGAGUCCUGGAGAGGAAGGCGGAAUUCUCGGUGUAGAGGUGAAAUUCGUAGAUAUCGAGAGGAACACCGGUGGCGAAGGCGGCCUUCUGGACAGUGACUGACGCUGAGACGCGAAAGCGUGGGGAGCAAACAGG
Molecule: ribosomal RNA, 253 nt
Filed under: uncultured bacterium
Lineage: Bacteria
Description: partial 16S ribosomal RNA
Rfam family: Bacterial small subunit ribosomal RNA
Source: RNAcentral